Molecule: ribosomal RNA, 245 nt
Filed under: uncultured Adhaeribacter sp.
Lineage: Bacteria; Pseudomonadati; Bacteroidota; Cytophagia; Cytophagales; Hymenobacteraceae
Description: partial 16S ribosomal RNA
Rfam family: Bacterial small subunit ribosomal RNA
Source: RNAcentral
UACGGAGGGUGCAAGCGUUGUCCGGAUUUAUUGGGUUUAAAGGGUGCGUAGGUGGCCUUAUAAGUCAGUGGUGAAAGCCUGCAGCUUAACUGUAGGACUGCCAUUGAUACUGUAAGGCUUGAGUACUGAUGAGGUAGGCGGAAUUGAUAGUGUAGCGGUGAAAUGCAUAGAUAUUAUCAAGAACACCGAUUGCGAAGGCAGCUUACUAAGGAGUUACUGACACUGAGGCACGAAAGCGUGGGGAU